GCCGAGCCGGCUCCACCCAUUGCCAACCCUAGUUAGCACUCUCCGGUGAAAAGAACGAAGAUAAAGGAAGAUUGACCAUCGGUGAACUAUGAAGGAGAGAAACAUUGACCGCCGGUGAAGGAGGGAAACUUUGUCUGAUAAUUUGUAGAGAGAGAGAGAGAAUAGAAAGUCAGAGAAGAAAAAGAAAAUGAAACGGGAUAAUUCUGGUUUGGGUAUAUAGGAACAUUUCCUCUGAUUUUUGAAAUCGUAAUUUAAGAAUUCUGGUUUCCUGUAAUUUCCUCUUUUUUUUUUUUAAAUUUAGGCAGGCCCAAAUCAAUGAAUCACCCAUAGACCAUCGACCAGAUUACUUACCACUACCAGAGGUCCCGACUCCAGAAUCAGUUUCCUGUUUUUCCCUAAUUCUUGAUUUCCUUCCCAUCAAAACCGGGAGCCAGAGGCAAACCCUUCUUGAGUUCUUCAAUUCGUUCCCCAAUUCCUUCUCGUCAAACUAGUCACCUGAGUUCACUGAUUGAGCUAGUAGCUGUAGCAGCGUGAACGGACUGAAGUGAACGGUGAACCCACUGACAUGAUUCGCCAUUUUUUUUUUCUAAGUCUCUCAUUCUCUAAGUCUCUGACUCUGUCUGUGAUUUUUUGUGCAAUUUUUCAUGUAUUUAUAAAUUAUACAGAUAACCCAUCUAUAUUAUGGUCCAAUUUUUGGGUCGUUGAUGAAUUUAGCUUCGGUUUUUAUUAAAAUAUUGUUUAUUGUGCUUUGCCACUUUGGUGUAAUUCAGAUUUCAGUGUGUGAUAUUGUUUAUUGUGCUUUGCCAAUCACUUUCGUGUAAUUUAAUGCCUGAUUAUGUGAUUGAAUCAUUGAACCUGCUUGUUUUGAUGAAGCCCAUUUUAUGAUUUUGAUAAUUAG
RNAcentral lists this long non-coding RNA (898 nucleotides) under Olea europaea subsp. europaea. The record is from RNAcentral. Lineage: Eukaryota; Viridiplantae; Streptophyta; Magnoliopsida; Lamiales; Oleaceae.